AGGAUGAACGCUGGCGGUCUGCUUAACACAUGCAAGUCGAACGGGCGUAGCAAUACGUUAGUGGCGGACGGGUGAGUAACGCGUGAGAAUCUACCUUCAGGACGGAGACAACAGUUGGAAACGACUGCUAACCCCCGAUGUACCGAAAGGGCAAAUAUUUAUAGCCUGAAGAAGAGCUCGCGUCCGAUUAGCUAGUUGGAGAGGUAAAAGCUCACCAAGGCGACGAUCGGUAGCUGGUCUGAGAGGACGAUCAGCCACACUGGGACUGAGACACGGCCCAGACUCCUACGGGAGGCAGCAGUGGGGAAUUUUCCGCAAUGGGCGAAAGCCUGACGGAGCAAGACCGCGUGGGGGAAGAAGGCUCUUGGGUUGUAAACCCCCUUUUCUCUGGGAAGAACACAAUGACGGUACCAGAGGAAUCAGCAUCGGCUAACUCCGUGCCAGCAGCCGC
Molecule: ribosomal RNA, 451 nt
Filed under: uncultured bacterium
Lineage: Bacteria
Description: SSU rRNA
Rfam family: Bacterial small subunit ribosomal RNA
Source: RNAcentral